GCUGACUGCAAAUCUGCCGUCAUCGACUUCAAGGUUCGACUCGAGCAAUAGUGAGAGAACGUUGCCGCAGGCAACGGCCCGAAGGGUGAGGAGCUUUAGCUCCGAAUAAUCCUUCCCGCUAUAGAA
RNAcentral lists this small RNA (126 nucleotides) under Salmonella enterica. RNAcentral's name for it is "partial RtT sRNA". It matches the Rfam family "RtT RNA", at positions 21 to 130 of the family's 130-position model. Rfam says of the family: This family represents a bacterial cis-regulatory element known as RtT RNA. The exact function of RtT is unknown although it is thought that it may be involved in changing the cellular response in relation to amino acid starvation. Lineage: Bacteria; Pseudomonadati; Pseudomonadota; Gammaproteobacteria; Enterobacterales; Enterobacteriaceae. The record is from RNAcentral. RNAcentral also lists the same sequence under 2 other names.